AUCCACUACCUGCACACAAAUUACAUUACACAUUCACAAUUAAACAAAGUGCUAAUCAAGUUUUUGGUUCAGGUUUAGCUUUUCUUUAUAAAGUAUAGAAUCAGAUGAAAAAGAUACAGGCUGAAACGAGCACAAGCAGCUAGCACCUUGGAGAAAGGAUCUUUUGCUUCAACAAAUGCUCUCAUAAGACGAAUUCUUCUCAUCUCCUCCAUUUCUUGAGUGCUGCUUUUCAUCUCGUCGUUUCUAUUUACCCUUGGUACCACUUUUUCUGCUUCAUCUUUCAUGGUUUUCUUGGACUCCAACUCGGGUAUUAUAUCAGAAUCCAUGGUUUUUUUUUUUUU
Rosa rugosa (rugosa rose) is the source of this 341-nucleotide long non-coding RNA. RefSeq lists it as uncharacterized. The transcript is spliced from 2 exons. The record is from RefSeq and is a predicted model, not a curated record. NCBI's taxonomy places the organism in Eukaryota, Viridiplantae, Streptophyta, Magnoliopsida, Rosales, Rosaceae.